RNAcentral lists this ribosomal RNA (665 nucleotides) under uncultured bacterium. RNAcentral describes it as "bacterial SSU rRNA". It matches the Rfam family "Bacterial small subunit ribosomal RNA", at positions 649 to 1312 of the family's 1533-position model. The record is from RNAcentral.
UCGGAGAGGAAAGUGGANUUCCUAGUGUAGCGGUGAAAUGCGUAGAUAUUAGGAAGAACACCAGUGGCGAAGGCGACUUUCUGGACGAAAACUGACGCUGAGGCGCGAAAGCCAGGGGAGCGAACGGGAUUAGAUACCCCGGUAGUCCUGGCCGUAAACGAUGGGUACUAGGUGUAGGAGGUAUCGACCCCUUCUGUGCCGGAGUUAACGCAAUAAGUACCCCGCCUGGGGAGUACGACCGCAAGGUUGAAACUCAAAGGAAUUGACGGGGGCCCGCACAAGCGGUGGAGUAUGUGGUUUAAUUCGACGCAACGCGAAGAACCCUACCAGGUCUUGACAUUGAUGGACAGAACCAGAGAUGGUUCCUCUUCUUCGGAAGCCAGAAAACAGGUGGUGCACGGUUGUCGUCAGCUCGUGUCGUGAGAUGUUGGGUUAANNNNNNCAACGAGCGCAACCCCUAUCUUAUGUUGCCAGCACUUUGGGUGGGGACUCAUGAGAGACUGCCGCAGACAAUGCGGAGGAAGGCGGGGAUGACGUCAAAUCAUCAUGCCCCUUAUGACCUGGGCUACACACGUACUACAAUGGGAGUUAAUAGACGGAAGCGAGAUCGCGAGAUGGAGCAAACCCGAGAAACACUCUCUCAGUUCGGAUCGUAGGCUGCAACU